CGCACAUUGCGCCUUUUGGUAUUCCAAAAGGCAUGCCUGUCUGAGCGUCAGUACAUACUCACCAAACACUUGGUGGUCCUGAGUCUCAUGAGAAGAGUUUCUCUGACUUGAAAUUCAUUGGCUAAACGACGCCGUUCUUUUAGUGUAAUAGGUCGUUCCAACUCGCUAAUGACGGUGGUUGAAUAGCCCAUGUUUUAUUAUUGAACUCUUGACCUCAGAUCAGGUAAGGAUACCCGCUGAACUUAA
This 246-nucleotide unclassified non-coding RNA is filed under the name Metschnikowia sp. (in: budding yeasts & allies). Its description in RNAcentral is "Metschnikowia sp. (in: Fungi) partial contains 5.8S ribosomal RNA, internal transcribed spacer 2, and large subunit ribosomal RNA". Lineage: Eukaryota; Fungi; Ascomycota; Pichiomycetes; Serinales; Metschnikowiaceae. The record is from RNAcentral.